CUGCGCUAGGCGGGGAGCCGGCGGUGCCCUGAACCCGAAAUCCGCCUAUGCGGGGCUGAAUUCCCACCAAGAGCUCUUCCUUUGUGGUAAGGGUCCUUUCCAGAGGCGAUGAAGGUCGGGUCCCGAUGGCGAGUUCCCGCUCCAAACCCCGCCAGGUCCGGAAGGAAGCAACGGUAAGGAGAUGGGAAAGCGCGCUCGGCAAACCUGGCUGGAGCCAGAAGGGAGGAAUAUCCUGCUGGAAAGGAAGUAGCGAAGGUGGGUGCGCAG
This 267-nucleotide signal recognition particle RNA is filed under the name bacterium. RNAcentral's name for it is "signal recognition particle sRNA large type". It matches the Rfam family "Bacterial large signal recognition particle RNA". From Rfam's summary of the family: The signal recognition particle (SRP) is a universally conserved ribonucleoprotein involved in the co-translational targeting of proteins to membranes. Archaeal SRP consists of a 7S RNA and homologues of the eukaryotic SRP19 and SRP54 proteins. In most bacteria, the SRP consists of a 4.5S RNA and the Ffh protein (a homologue of the eukaryotic SRP54 protein). The record is from RNAcentral.